UACGUAGGGGGCAAGCGUUGUCCGGAAUUAUUGGGCGUAAAGAGCGCGUAGGCGGUCCGGUAAGUCGGUUGUGAAAGUCGGGGGCUCAACCCUCGGAUGCCGAUCGAUACUGCCGGGCUAGAGUCCGGAAGAGGCGAGUGGAAUUCCUGGUGUAGCGGUGAAAUGCGCAGAUAUCGGGAGGAACACCAAUGGCGAAGGCAGCUCGCUGGGACGGUACUGACGCUGAGGAGCGAAAGCGUGGGGAGCAAACAGG
This 253-nucleotide ribosomal RNA is filed under the name uncultured bacterium. RNAcentral's name for it is "partial 16S ribosomal RNA". It matches the Rfam family "Bacterial small subunit ribosomal RNA", at positions 524 to 776 of the family's 1533-position model. The record is from RNAcentral.